GAGGGUAUAGCUCAAGUGGUAGAGUGCAUGCUUAGCAUGCACAAGGCUCUGGGUCCAAUCCCCAGUACCUCUA
RNAcentral lists this transfer RNA (73 nucleotides) under Camelus bactrianus (Bactrian camel). It matches the Rfam family "tRNA". Rfam says of the family: Transfer RNA (tRNA) molecules are approximately 80 nucleotides in length. Their secondary structure includes four short double-helical elements and three loops (D, anti-codon, and T loops). The record is from Rfam by way of RNAcentral. RNAcentral also lists the same sequence under 3 other names. Lineage: Eukaryota; Metazoa; Chordata; Mammalia; Artiodactyla; Camelidae.